UGCCUUGGCACCAGGAACCGAUGAAGGACGUGGGAGGCCGCGAUAGGCCCCGGGGAGCUGUCAACCGAGCUUUGAUCCGGGGGUGUCCGAAUGGGGAAACCCGGCAGUCGUCAUGGGCUGUCACCCACUGCUGAACACAUAGGCAGUGUGGAGGGAACGCGGGGAAGUGAAACAUCUCAGUACCCGCAGGAAGAGAAAACAACCGUGAUUCCGGGAGUAGUGGCGAGCGAAACCGGAUGAGGCCAAACCGUAUGUGUGUGAUACCCGGCAGGG
Molecule: ribosomal RNA, 273 nt
Filed under: Streptomyces lonegramiae
Lineage: Bacteria; Bacillati; Actinomycetota; Actinomycetes; Kitasatosporales; Streptomycetaceae
Description: Streptomyces sp. DSM 41529 partial 23S ribosomal RNA
Rfam family: Bacterial large subunit ribosomal RNA
Source: RNAcentral